CCUUCAUGAAGCUGGAAUUGCUAGUAGUGGCAGGUCAGCAUACUGCCGUGAAUACGUUCCCGGGCCUUGUACACACCGCCCGUCACACCAUGAGAGUUGGGAAUACCCGAAGCCUGUGAGCUAACUGUAAGGAGGCAGCAGUCGAAGGUAGAAUCAAUGAUUGGGGUGAAGUCGUAACAAGGUAGC
RNAcentral lists this ribosomal RNA (186 nucleotides) under uncultured bacterium. RNAcentral describes it as "partial 16S ribosomal RNA". It matches the Rfam family "Bacterial small subunit ribosomal RNA", at positions 1315 to 1500 of the family's 1533-position model. The record is from RNAcentral.